This 1159-nucleotide long non-coding RNA is filed under the name Salvia miltiorrhiza (redroot sage). RNAcentral describes it as "long non-coding RNA (SMIL_LNC006541)". The record is from RNAcentral. Lineage: Eukaryota; Viridiplantae; Streptophyta; Magnoliopsida; Lamiales; Lamiaceae.
UUUUUCUUAAGCUGGCGUUGGAAAUGCCACUGUGGCAGUCUGAAUUGCAUUGAAUUAGAUACAUCAACAGUUUCAACAAAUCAAAUAUCCCUAUAAAUUUGCAUUGAAUUCAAAUAUCCCUAUAAAUUUGCAUUGAAUUAGGCAGGGGCUGCGCGCACGCAAACCCCCUCUACCACAAAUUAUGACGUAAGUUCGACCACUUGGGUCGACUUUAGGCAAGCACCCUCCUAAGUGCAAUGGAGGUUACAAACCUAGGCCAUGAGCCUUCUAGAUCAACCAUCGACCCCGUCCAGGUAAGUAUGGGAUUUGAUUUUAUUUCUUCCAUUUAUCCACACGCUACUUCCAUGCUCCAUCUACUUGGAUACCUAUGUGGGAUAUACACUUUGUUUAUUCAAAAAAUUAAUCGCUUCCUUCUCCUUUGCCUCCUUUGCAUUUUUGACAUUUACUUUACAUAAUUUUUUGUUUCAAAAUUUAUUCGAAGUGUAUACGUCUAUAACCACAUUAAUAUACACUUAUUUUUUUUUUUUUAUCAGGAAAAAAAUCAUAUAGUAUUAACUAUAGGCUUCGGUAUCCUUUGCCCAGAAGCGUUUACAAAAUGAGAGAAAAUCAAAAGCAGAGGCUUGAAAAGGGUCCUAAACACUUGAGUGCCUCUAUUGCAGAGUUAAUCUAUCAACUUUGCAUCAGAAAACCAUAUGCCAUUUUCCACCCCCACAUUCUGAAUUUGAUCUCUGCCAGCAGUUUUUCCGAUUUCCAAACUUAAUUUGAUUCGAUUUUGAGAUCGUUAUCAUCCUCAAUGCUCCGCCGGAAACACUCAUGUUAUCAACCUUGCUUACAAUUUCAGUUGUCCACCAGAGCUUGGGAGUUGAAGAAUUUGCAUUGGUUAGCUCAAUAGACUCAUCAUUAUGCAAUGUUCUCAUAAUUCUUCACUUGGAAGCUUGGGUUGGAUAUGUGGAUCCUCCUUCCUUUAUGCUCCAAACACCUUUUAUUUCUUGAUUUUUUAGUCAUUAUUGUAAUGAAAACAUGAUUUGCUUUUUUCUAUCAAAUCAUAAUUUUCUAUUUUAAUUUCUAUAGAUUAUUGCUAAGAAAACUCCUGAGUAUUUUGAGUAUGAUGUUUUGGCCUGUAAGAGUUGAGAGAACAUUAUGUCCUAUUUUUCAGAAA